AAAAACUAAUACAAAAAAAAUAAUAUAAAUGAAAUCCCCCAAAGUUUAAAUUUUUUAUAAAAUUAAAUUCCAACAAAUAAAAUAAAAUAACCUCUAUCAUAGAAAUAAAAGAACCCUUUUCUUAUUGUGCAAUGCAAUGGCCUUCAUAGAUUGAUUUAAUCAGAGGAGGGCUUGGUCUUGGACCUAUAUAGGAGCUUCUUCUUCUUCGAGGACUGGUUAUCAAUGGUGAGAACCACCUUGCCGGGUUCGCCAAUUUUGAAUGUGUCGCAGAUGACCGGUUCAUCAGUUGGCGCGACCUUCCUAGUCUUUGACACUAUUACAGUGUAGCUG
This 330-nucleotide long non-coding RNA is filed under the name Citrus maxima (pomelo). RNAcentral's name for it is "long non-coding RNA (CMAX_LNC001605)". Lineage: Eukaryota; Viridiplantae; Streptophyta; Magnoliopsida; Sapindales; Rutaceae. The record is from RNAcentral.